AUCACUGGUGUUCGGGUUGUCAUGCCAAUGGCACUGCCCGGUAGCUAAAUGCGGAAGAGAUAAGUGCUGAAAGCAUCUAAGCACGAAACUUGCCCCGAGAUGAGUUCUCCCUGACUCCUUGAGAGUCCUGAAGGAACGUUGAAGACGACGACGUUGAUAGGCCGGAUGUGUAAGCGCAGCGAUGCGUUGAGCUAACCGGUACUAAUGAACCGUGAGGCUUAACCUUACAACGCCGAAGGUGUUU
RNAcentral lists this ribosomal RNA (244 nucleotides) under Escherichia coli. RNAcentral describes it as "partial 23S ribosomal RNA". It matches the Rfam family "Bacterial large subunit ribosomal RNA", at positions 2705 to 2925 of the family's 2925-position model. The record is from RNAcentral. Lineage: Bacteria; Pseudomonadati; Pseudomonadota; Gammaproteobacteria; Enterobacterales; Enterobacteriaceae.